UUAGAUACCCUGGUAGUCCACGCCGUAAACGGUGGGCACUAGUUGUGGGAACUUUCCACGGUUUCUGCGACGCAGCUAACGCAUUAAGUGCCCCGCCUGGGGAGUACGAUCGCAAGAUUAAAACUCAAAGGAAUUGACGGGGCCCCGCACAAGCAGCGGAGCAUGCGGCUUAAUUCGACGCAACGCGAAGAACCUUACCAAGGCUUGACAUAUACAGGAAUAUGGCAGAGAUGUCAUAGCCGCAAGGUCUGUAUACAGGUGGUGCAUGGUUGUCGUCAGCUCGUGUCGUGAGAUGUUGGGUUAAGUCCCGCAACGAGCGCAACCCUCGUUCUGUGUUGCCAGCAUUUAGUUGGGGACUCACAGGAGACUGCCGGGGUUAACUCGGAGGAAGGUGGGGAUGACGUCAAAUCAUCAUGCCCCUUAUGUCUUGGGCUGCACGCAUGCUACAAUGGCUGGUACAAACGGCUGCGAUACCGCAAGGUGGAGCGAAUCCGAUAAAGCCAGUCUCAGUUCGGAUUGGGGUCUGCAACUCGACCCCAUGAAGUCGGAGUUGCUAGUAAUCGUAGAUCAGCAACGCUACGGUGAAUACGUUCCCGGGGCUUGUACACACCGCCCGUCACGUCACGAAAGUCGGUAACACCCGAA
Molecule: ribosomal RNA, 645 nt
Filed under: uncultured Actinomycetes bacterium
Lineage: Bacteria; Bacillati; Actinomycetota; Actinomycetes
Description: bacterial SSU rRNA
Rfam family: Bacterial small subunit ribosomal RNA
Source: RNAcentral